RNAcentral lists this long non-coding RNA (199 nucleotides) under Elaeis guineensis (African oil palm). Its description in RNAcentral is "long non-coding RNA (EGUI_LNC055416)". Lineage: Eukaryota; Viridiplantae; Streptophyta; Magnoliopsida; Arecales; Arecaceae. The record is from RNAcentral.
CAAUAGAGAUGCUUUAUGCCUGUUGAAGAGGAGCUUGGGGCAAAAUUUUUACUAAAAAUUAUCCGAAAAAAUAAUUGAUUAAGAACCUAACCAUAGAUGCACAUGGAUUGGCCAAGCCUGAAUUAGGCCCAUAUGCAGUCUAUGUGGAUUUUAGUACCUACUAAGAAAUUAAGGUAAUUUUUUGAAAUAAAGGUAGAGG